GAUAGAGAAGCCCUGAAGAUUUCCAUAUGCGCAGGGGACAGCAACAAUUUUUUGUUUGUUUUUGUUUUUGAGACAGUGUUUCUCUGUAGCUUUGGAGCCUGUCCUGUAAUUGGCUCUUAUAGACCAGGCUGGCCUCGAACUCACCGAAAUCCGCCUGACCCUGCCUCCCCAAGUGCUGGGAUUAAAGGCGUGUGCCCGGCAGCAACAAUUUUUUAUAGUAAAAUUGUGUAUGUGUGUGUGUAUACACAUAUAUGUGUGUGUAUAUAUAUAUAACCAUUUUUUACUUUUUUUCAUUUGUUAUUUUAUGUGUAUAAGUGUUUACCUGCAUGUGUGUAAGUGUCCUACGUGUGCACCCGCUGCCCCAAGAGGCCAGAAGAGGGCAUCAGAUUCCCUGAAACCGUCGUUAAAGUUUGGGUUACCAUAUGGUGCUAAUCGAAGCCAGGUCCUCUGGAAAGGCCUCCAAGUGCUCUUCCCCUCUGAGCCAUGUCUCCAGGCCUCAUUUUAACUAUUUUUAAUACGCAGUCCAGUGGUAGGCAUUACUUUCAGAUUGCUGUGUGUACCAUCACUAUGGCAGAUCUCUAGAACUUUCCAUAUUGAAAGCAUACUCAUGAACUAACUCCAGGGUUCUUUGCUCCACCCCCAAGCCUGGAUACGGCAGUUCCACUUCUGCCCUGAUGAAUCUAACCACUGGGCCCUCUUGUGUUAGUCUUGUUUGGCCCUCGAGGUCUUCAAGUCAUAGCCGGUGCCAGAGUUUCACUCUACCUUAAAGCUUACAAAUGCUGUGUGUACAUACAUAGUAUUUUCCAUAUGCCUAUCUAAGCCUUUUGGGUUAUUUGAACCCCUUGACUCUUGUGACUAUAAGUGCCAUUAAUAUUUGUGUACAAGGAUUUCUUUGAACCCCUGCUCUCAAUUUUUCAUAGCUGCCACAAUUUUGUUAUUGUUGUUGAGAUGGUCUCUUUAUUCGCCCUGGCUGUCCUGGAACUCACUAUGUAUACUAUCAGGCCUCAACCUCACAGAGAUCUGCCUACCUGUGCCUCCUGAGUGCUGGGAUUAAAGGCAUGAAUCACUAUUCCCAAGCAAGGUUGCUGUAAAAUCUUAAAACCAGUCUCUCCUAUGUGAGGGAGACGCAUUUAGGUGGGCUUGAGGUUUUAGAAAAGGAGUUAGAAAGUUGUAACAGAAACCUGGACUGACCAGCAGCCAUGACUGCACUUGGCUGAAUUCUGCCUCAUUUACAUUAAGGGUUCUGGAGGAAGGUGGCCCCUUCCCCCAUUUCUCCAAAAGUCUCAUUUCCUUGGCCAGUAAUCUCAGCGCAUGACUUAGUUGCCUCAGCUUCAAGAGCACCAAGCCGCCUUUGCAGCAGCCAUGAUGCUUUUGUUCAAGCCCCUGUACUUAGGGACUUGGGAUGCUCAUUUAUGAAGCAGGAUCCAAAACCCUCUUCCAGAGACUGUGACAUAGAACAUCUGGUUGAGCCUGUGGGUGUGAUUGUUAAAACUGCUUCUCUGCGGGUUUUAAGGCAGUCAAAGUCAAGCUGGAGGCUCCCAGAGCUGUCCAUGGUAUCCGAAAGAUGCCUUCACGGUCCAGCCAUUCUUUCUUCUUCUACACCCCCAAAUCCUGUUCCUCUUACCCUCCUGGUGUCUGUAGUUUCAGUAGUUGCCACCACCCUCAUUCACUAAAGUUUGAAAAUUGUCAAGGCUUAACAGACCCCACUCCCCCCUUUCUUAAAGCCAGUCCAGCCCUAAAGUCUUGUGGGUUUUAUAAUAAAGUACUGUUCCUCUUGCCUGCCAUUCCUGAUUCAAUCAGCAUCUGCCUUUGAUCUGAGCUGUUGUAGCAGCCUCCUCCUGGGUGUCUCUGCCUCUCAUUUGUUAUACUCCCGUCCAUUCACACUGCGGCUAGAACUUCCCAUCCCCGUUCACACUGUGCCUGGAACUUAUCAUCCCCGUUCACACUGCGGCUGGAACUUCCCAUCCAUUCACACAGCGCUGGAACUUCCCGUUCCAGCUCUUCCUCUGCCUAGAACACUCUUCAGCCUUCAGUGUGCAUCUGCUGCGACGCCUCUGAUCUCCCAACCCACAGCAGUCCUCUCCAGGGGAGACAAUUACAGAGACCGAAAAUCAAGACGAAGCCUGAGGCCAAACAACUGCUCAGCAGUUCCAGGGAUGGUGAGUUCCCCCAAGAAUUACAAGCCAGGCUCUCCAUCAGACAUAGACUAUAAGCUGGAUUUUGAGAAUGGGGCAGGCAGAAAGACAGGGUGGCCACUGCAGAGGCCAUGGUUAGAGUCAGUGGACAAGGAGCCAAGUGCUCUGCCCGCUGGGUCACAGUCCCUGAGGCUCCAUCCACCAGCUAAGGAUAUCCCUGCUUCAGAUGCUCCUGCGCCAGUGGAGGGCCUCGCUGAGAGACGAGAUCACCAUGGAUGCAAGCAGAGAACAUCUGCCUUUGGGACUGGGGAUGCUGACUAGACAGGAUGAAACCCAAGACUUGGAGAAGGAAGAGCAGGGCCCAAAGGGCCCAUUGGAGCCCCAUUGUCAGGAGCUUUGGACACAGCCAGUUUCGGGAAACUGUAGCAGCCUUGUGGCUCUUCAUGCCCCCGAACUCCCAAAUCAACUCUAUUUCUGGAGGCUUCUUUGAGGACUUAGAAGGCAGCUUUGCAUCCCGAUCUAUUACUGGAAGUCCUGGGUUCCACCCUCAGCACAUUGGGAAGAAGGAAGAAGAGGAGGAGGAGGAGGCAUGGAGGAAUCUUAAAGUCCUUUAGCCCAGCUCUCCGAAUCAGAAAGUGGGAUGAAGAGAGAGCACAGGUGGGGAAUGGAAGAUGGAAGAUCUCAGCUGCCUUCUCUAAGCAAUGAAGGCUUGCAGCUUCGGUGACUUUCCGAUGCCCCUUUUCUCAGGUGUUGUCUGUGAUGAUGGAUAUCCCGUAGAAGGAGGCUGUUCCCAAAGCCCUGGCCUCCUCAGGGAAAAGAGGCAAAUCCAACCAAAGCUAAAGCUUGUGUUGUCAUCUUCAGAGCCAUCCUUUGUGAAUGAGACGAGGUCUCGACCAGAGCGGGUCAGAGCCCACUUCAAGCUUGUAGACCAACAUGCCUGUGAUCUGGUAGGAGGGAAGUGAUGUGGGAGUGACUUCUUUCUAAUCUAUUGCUUUCACUGGUUAAUUAAUAAAGAAACUGCCUAGGCCCAUUUGAUAGGCCAACCCUUAGGUGGGUGGAGUAAACAGAACAGAAUGCUGGGAGAAAGAAGCCGAGUCAGGCAGUCGCCAUGAUUCUCCCACUCCAGACAGAUGCAUGUUAAGAUCUUCCCUGGUAAGCCACCUCGUGGGCUACACAGAUUAUUAGAAAUGGGUUAGAUCAAUAUGUAAGAGCUAGCCAAUAAGAGGCUGGAACUAAUGGGCCAGGCAGUGUUUAAAAGAAUACAGUUUCUGUGUAAUUAUUUCGGGGCAUAAGCUAGCCAUGCAGGCGUCAGGGAGCUGGGGCGGCAGGAACACAGCCUCGCCCCUCCUAUUACAACAGGGAAGGAGGCUCAGGUGUAUUCAGGGUCAUUUCUGAAGAAGGAAGCGUGACUGUGGUGGGCAGGUUCCUUGACAGUCCCACAUAAAGCGUACAGACACAGGACAGCCAAGCAGUAAAGGAAACCAUCAAAACCAGAAAGCUGGCAAAGAUGUAAUUGAAUGAGGGGGGCAUUUCCCAGCCUCAACAAACAGUAGAAUUUGGCAGCUUCAGCUACCUGGUUCUGGCUUUAAAGUUAAGGAUAAAAGAAAUGGGUUAUGAAAUCUUCCUUCAAACUAAGGAAAGCUGCUGAGGGCAGGCAUGUAUCAGGACUAUCCCUGCAUGGAGGUUUGGAAAUGCCAUUGCAUGAAGCUGUGAAGUUCAAGCCUCGAUUUCCUUGGAGACAUCAAAAUGUUGGAGAUGCCAGAGCUGUGGGUACCUGCUGAGGAGAGCUGCUGAGGAGAGUUGCUGACAGACAGUGGAACCAUCCAAAGAGAGAGAAGUGUGUUUCAGUCAACAAAUCUGAAAGGAGUUGGAGAUCUAAAGAGCACUUUGACAUCAGACAUGGAAAUACAGUAUUUGGAGUUUUCCUAGAUGAUUUGGUUUGGUAUUUCCUCACUAGCCUCUCUUUCCUCCACUUUGGGACAGUAAUGCAUAUCUUGUGCCAUUAUGUGUUUGAAGUAUGUGAUAUUUCUCUUUAAUUUUGAUUUAUAGGGGAUUAUAGUUAAGAGAUUAAGUGAGUCUUAGGAGAGACUUUAAACUGUAGACUAUUAAACAUUGUUGAGACGGUGACCGACAAUGGGGAAUUUUGAAGUUGGACUAAACAAAUAUUGCAUUAUGUUAUGGAUAUAAGUCUAUGGGGGUGAGGGAGUAGAAUGUGGGGGUUUGAAAAGGUAUGCCCCCCCAUGGUCUCAUGUGUUUGAAUGCUUGGCAUAUAGGGAAUGGUCCUAGAAGAAGGUGUGCCCUUGUUGAAGCAAGAAUGGCUUUGUUAGUUGUUAGAGGAAGUUUGUCACUGUGGUGGCAGUCUUUGAGGUCUCAUAUGCUCAAACUAUGCCUAGUUUGGUAGACAGUUCACUUCCUCUUGCCUGCAGAUCAAGAUGCAGAACUCUCAGUUCUUUCUCCAAAACCAUGUCUCCCUACAUACUGCCAUGAAGAUAAUGGAUUAAGCCUCUGAAACUGUAAGCCAGCCCAAAUUAAAUGGUUUCCUUUAUAAGAGUUGUCAUGGUCAUAUCUCUUCACAGCAAUGGAAACCCUAAGACAGAGUAUCUGGCAAGCCCUGGGUGCUCUGCUCCUGCCCUGACCUCAGCUUUUAAUGUUCACUCUGGCAGGGCAGGGCCUAGUGAGUGUGUAGUUUCUGGGACUUCCUGACCAUUUUGAAUUUUACCUUCCUACUUAAAGAAUGUCCUGGAGGAUGGAGUGCUGUAGAAAAUCCUUCAGCCAGUAGCCUUUAAGUUACCCACCCACUUGGGCAUGGCCUCUUAUACUAUAAUGCCAAUGUAAAGCUCAUGCCUGCUCUUUCUUCUUAUGUUACUGAUUCCAAGUUCAAGCAGAGGACUGUGAUCUGUGAGUCUCCCCCUAA
Alexandromys fortis (reed vole) is the source of this 5049-nucleotide long non-coding RNA. RefSeq lists it as uncharacterized. The transcript has 3 exons. NCBI's taxonomy places the organism in Eukaryota, Metazoa, Chordata, Mammalia, Rodentia, Cricetidae. The record is from RefSeq and is a predicted model, not a curated record.